AUUGAACGCUGGCGGCAGGCCUAACACAUGCAAGUCGAGCGGAUGAAGGGAGCUUGCUCCUGGAUUCAGCGGCGGACGGGUGAGUAAUGCCUAGGAAUCUGCCUGGUAUUGGGGGUUAACGUCGGGAAACGGGCGCUAAUCCCGCAUACGUCCGGAGGGGGAAAUUGGGGGAUCUUCGGACCUCACGCUAUCAGAUGAGCCUAGGUCGGAUUAGCUAGUUGGUGGGGUAAAGGCCUACCAAGGCGACGAUCCGUAACUGGUCUGAGAGGAUGAUCAGUCACACUGGAACUGAGACACGGUCCAGACUCCUACGGGAGGCAGCAGUGGGGAAUAUUGGACAAUGGGCGAAAGCCUGAUCCAGCCAUGCCGCGUGUGUGAAGAAGGUCUUCAGAUUGUAAAGCACUUUAAGUUGGGAGGAAGGGCAGUAAGUUAAUACCUUGCUGUUUUGACGUUACCAACAGAAUAAGCACCGGCUAACUUCGUG
RNAcentral lists this ribosomal RNA (484 nucleotides) under uncultured bacterium. Its description in RNAcentral is "partial 16S ribosomal RNA". It matches the Rfam family "Bacterial small subunit ribosomal RNA", at positions 30 to 507 of the family's 1533-position model. The record is from RNAcentral.